AUACUUACCUGGCAGGGAAGAUACCAGGAUCACGAAGGUGGUUUUCCCAGGGCGAGGCUUAUCCAUUGCACUCCAGAUGUGCUGACCCUUGCGAUUUCCCCAAAUGUGGGAAACUCAACUGCAUAAUUUGUGGUAGUGGGGAACUGCUUUAGAACUCUCCUCUG
Molecule: small nuclear RNA, 164 nt
Filed under: Mus spretus (western wild mouse)
Lineage: Eukaryota; Metazoa; Chordata; Mammalia; Rodentia; Muridae
Description: predicted gene, 23330 (ENSMSPG00010001854.1)
Rfam family: U1 spliceosomal RNA
About the family: U1 is a small nuclear RNA (snRNA) component of the spliceosome (involved in pre-mRNA splicing). Its 5' end forms complementary base pairs with the 5' splice junction, thus defining the 5' donor site of an intron.
Source: RNAcentral